RNAcentral lists this long non-coding RNA (600 nucleotides) under Dasypus novemcinctus (nine-banded armadillo). Its description in RNAcentral is "lncRNA (ENSDNOG00000052202.1)". Lineage: Eukaryota; Metazoa; Chordata; Mammalia; Cingulata; Dasypodidae. The record is from RNAcentral.
CCUUCCCCCAGCAACAGCGACAGCCAAUCCCUAAUCACCACCCCUCCCCCGUCCAGUACCGCCCACUGACCUUUCGCCGGCAACCAAUCAGAACGGGGCAUGGCUUCGACCAAUCAGCCUUCCCCAGCCCCUAUAAAACUGUUGCCUCUCCCUCAGUAAAGUGGACUUGCGUGUUUACCUUGUCUCCGCGGUGGUUCUUCUGCCGUGCGCCCUCCAGUCCUGAGAGCCCCCGACAAGGGCCUGGCCUCCCUUGUCCCCAGUUCGUCGCCUGCUUCUCCGGGCGACCCCUUCGUCGCUGGCUUCUCCGGGCGACCCCUUCGUCGCCGGCUUCGCCGGGCGACCCCGUCAGCUGAACCGCGCAACCCCUUGUGAGACCGAUCCCUCGUCUGCUGCUGGACCGACCCCUCGUCCCAAGUGGGACCGACCCCUCGUCCCAAGCGGGACCGACCCCUCGUCCAGAGCUGGACCGACCCCUCGUCCGCAGCCAGACCCCACCUCUACCGACCGAGCAAGCUGCCGCAACAUUAGAUUCUCUGUCUCCAGAUUUACUCCUAUAAGGGGCGUAAAACAGGAGCAGAAAGCUCUUCACAUAAUCACCCU